UAUAAUCCUGACACUUGAACUCUGGAGGACUGACAGCUGUCCUCCAUGACAACAGAAGACACAGAAAUCCUCCUCAUCAAAAACAUGACUCUGAUCUGCGUCCUCAUCUGGACUCUCCUCUGCUGCUGCUUCACAGAGUCCAGAGGACAGACCACAGUGACUCAGUCUGGAGCAGUGAGCUCUGCUCUGGGAGGAUCUGUCACCAUCAGCUGUAAGACCAGUCGCAAUAUUUAUUCAAAUCACAUGUCGUGGUACCAACAGAACGAUGGAGGAAUUCCUAAACUACUCAUUUACUACACCAGCACUCGAGCAUCAGGGAUUUCAGAUCAUUUUACAGGCAGAGGAUCAAACUCUGACUUCAGUCUGACCAUCAGUGGAGUCCAGACAGAAGAUGCUGCAGUUUAUUACUGUAUGGGUCAAUUCUACAUCAACAGUCAGUAUUUGUUCACACAGUGAAAAAGUGUCGUACAAAAACCUCCCUCAGAGUGAACAGAAAGUGAAGUGACUGAUACAGUUC
Non-coding RNA from Amphiprion ocellaris (clown anemonefish), 517 nucleotides. NCBI's taxonomy places the organism in Eukaryota, Metazoa, Chordata, Actinopteri, Pomacentridae. The record is from the annotation of a RefSeq genome assembly.